Molecule: long non-coding RNA, 11471 nt
Organism: Cuculus canorus (common cuckoo)
Lineage: Eukaryota; Metazoa; Chordata; Aves; Cuculiformes; Cuculidae
Exons: 5
Source: RefSeq, a predicted model, not a curated record
CUGAGCUGUGAAACUCAAGCGCUGUGCACUUCUAGUAGUGAAUGUGACGUAGUGGAGAAGGGGAAGGAACCUGGCAGAAGCAGUGCCACCUCGAUGACAGCAGCCUGCGAGCAGAAGCUCUGCAAAUCCUCCCCCAUGUGAGCAGUGCCGGGACAGAUCACAGCUCUGGAGACAUAACCUGGCUCUGCUCUUUAUCCUAUUCCUGCCUAAUCUUUGCUUGGUCCUUUACGGUGCCUGAAUGAGCAGUGACCGAUGGUGACCGGUGCUUGGGAAAGUCACCACUGGCUGCCAUGGCUCCCGCCUGGCAGAAACUUGCCCAGUCCUGCUGCAUCUGUCCAGGACUUUCUGUAGGUGCAGAAGCACCUGAGCCUCCCAUUGACCCCUCUGGCUGAAGAGCCGAGCUGAGCGACCCCAGGACCUGGCAGGAUGGAGCCCUGGGGUGCCACGCGUGUCACGUAGCAGGUGCCUGGAGCAGCACAUCCAGGGGCCCGGCGGGCGAAUGACAAGCCAGGACUCGGAGCCAAGGAGCCUUCCUGGGCUGUGAGGCAGCUGGAGUGAUGCAGAGCAAGACCUGAGCUCUGCAAACCUAGUGGAAAAUCCAGGGCAGUCCAUGGGAGCCUUUCCACAAGUGUUGACGUGUUUUAGGCCGAGCCUUUGAUUCUGGAGCUGGUCUCAAACUUAUGCUUUUUCAGGUGUUUGCAGACAGGAUUUUGUUUCGGCUCCUCUUUCAGCCUGCCUUACGCAAAAAGCUAUUCCCCAGGGAUCGACACCUACAUUUGUGCUGAGCUCAGGCUGCCGUCCACUCCGGGAGGCCUCUGUGGAGCAGCAUCACUCUCGGCAUCCGAACAGGAGCAGCACCCGCCGCUUCCCCCGUCUCCAGAUCCAUUUUGCAGUGUCCAGCACCUAACGUUUUUCACAGGCGUGUUGGGACACACGCUUGGGCACAGACUCUUUAGGUUAUUGAGGAUGCGCAUUGGUCGCGGUGCUGUUGAACAACAGUGAUUAAGGGCUCAGAGGAAAAGCUGAGUCACCCCAAGGGCAUGCUGCUGCCUACCAGCCGGGAGCCGCGCGGGGAAUUUGCCUGGCACAGGCUCACAACACGUGAACCAACAUCCUCAUGUGACACGAUUCGGCAAGUGCUGUGCUGCCGACUGUGCUUCCUUCCGAGAUCCCUGGCCUUGACAAAAGCGGAAGGCAGAAGACCCUGACAAUCUCGCCCUGGCGUCAGGCUGGGCUCCGUGCACCCUCAGGCUCUGAGAUCCUGCUCUGUAGCCCUGACGCCACCAGAAAAUCCUGGUUUCUGUAUUUACCCAUCUCAGGGCUUUGAUUUAAGGUUCUCCCAGGUGUCUGUGUCAAAACACUUUUUGGGACCUCCUGCACAGCUUCUCAAGCUGAGGUGGACACCAGGGCUCAGGCCUUGAGUGCUACGAGUUACCCAACCAUCAGCAUCGCUCCUCGUGGUGGAGCUGAGGUUCCAUCCUGCAAAUCUGAAUUGCAACUGCAGCUCCCACAACGUGCGUGUUCCUGCUCCAUCUCAGCCCUGAUGAGCAGCAAACACAGAGGGAAGAGAGGGGGCAGGGAGGCAGAAUUUAUGUAAUUACCUGCAAGAACCUUUCUGCCUCUGCAUUGAAUGGAGAAACCAGAACACAGCCAAGGUUUCUGCAAGCUGGGCAAACAUCCCAACCAGAGAAGGCUUUCUUGAAACUCCACUCUUCCAGGCGGUGCCUUUCUUGGCUGUUGCUUUGGCAGCACCCGGCCAGAAUGUCUGGAGGCUGUUACAGGGCAGGACUGCUGCCUCCUCUGUUUUCUUAUGAAAUACACCCACAAAGCAACCUGCAGAGGCUCCAGUCUGCCAAAUCAAAGGGAUCGCACUUGUCCCAGGGCUACACACUCAGCAGCAUUCCAAGCAAAGCUGCAUUUCUAAAACCUGGGCUGCAGAAAUUAAAGGCACAGGCGGCCUUUCCUUCCCCCAUCCCCACUAACUGGAUCCCAUCCUAUCCCCGCUUUGCUACCCGGUUCCCCAAAAUCACAAGGAACGAAGCAAAUCAACAACUUUUCCAGCCUGCACCAAAAUCCUGGCCCCUGCAGCCACGGUUGGUAUUGAUUCCCCAGCGCCAGGUCCCUUGUGAUUAUGCUCUCCCACACAAUCAGAUUAAGGCUGUCUCUUCUCCCUUUCCAGCUUUAUUAAUGUGAAGAUUUUGUACUUUUUUUAAGCACAUCUCUUUUCUCCUUGAUCUUUCUCAGUGUUCUCUGCAUGGGCAGAGGGGAAUGGGCGAGUGUCCCCUCCUCAGCAGAGAUUCCCAGAGUGACCCUCCCUGGGGGAAGGGAGCAGGGGCCGGCGUGGAGCAUCUGCACGCCUUGGCAUCGCUCUAUCUGCAACGGCUUCUGACUGAGCCUGCUCGUCAGCGGAGAGGGACCAGAGGGCUCACAUCCCUCUUGUGAAACAGGUGGAAGCCUCCACCGAGCCAAGGGCUUGGGAAGGAGCAGGGGAAAUACUUUUUCAAGGGUUUGGAUUUCUGUACCGCAGGUCGGACUCAUUGCCGUUUGGUUUUCUUCACAGAGGUGACCGAGUUAGGAACACAGCUUCUGUGGACCCUUUCUAGCACCCAUGGGUGGUAAGGGACACCUUCAAAGGGCGGUUCAUCCCACUCCAUCUCUUCUCCAUUGGAUGCUGAGGACACCUGGGAACCACUUCUCUCCAGGCAUCUCAGAUCCACUUAUGCAGCCUCUUAAGGUGCAGUGCCCAGAAGCAGAUACAGGCACACUCAAUGAGUAUUUCAAUUUUCAGAAUUGAAACUUUCUCUUGAAAUUCGUCUUUGCUGAAGAAAAGCACCAGUACUGAGGGGAACACAUCAUCUCAAGAAGCUGCUUCAGGUGAAAAAUGUUGACCAGCUCUCCAGUUUUCUGUUACUUUAAGGCCUGAGCAUUUUUUCUGCCACAUUAGUGGGUCAUAAACCAAGUCCCUCCAAGAUUUUGUUUUCUUUUCUCUUUUGGCUCUUUCUUUUUCUCUCCUUUUCAAGGUGGAAGCAGGUUAUCUGAGAGAAAGGAGACGAUACAGGGCAGCAUCGUAGAGACCGUGCUAGGCUUUGGAACCUGCAUAAAAGCUGUGGAUUUCAAAAGAGCGGGAGGAUGAGGGUGGAAGGAAAGGAAGAAAAACUGGCAAAGAAAGGUACCAAAUAGAAAGCCCUUGUCCCAGAGUGUGUGCGGUGUAAGGCUGAAUCCGGCCUGGCACAGCAGAGCUGUCCUCACAGCCACUUCUCUCCCAGCCACGAGCCUCAGCUUCAAAGCCGGCGUGGACAGGGAAGUUCUUUAGUCUGCGGUCCCGGGAGCCCUCGGGAAGGAUGAGGCAGCAAAGCCAGACUGUCCUUCCCUUCACACUGCGAGGCCCUCCAGGCUGGAGCCCAUGAAUGGCGAUCUCCUCCCAAGAGAGCUUUGAGUGUAGCAGAUCCUACCAUCCAGUUGAUGAUUAUCUUUUGGCCUAAGCUGGCCAAGGCUGGUGUUCUAAUGUCAAGGGCUAUAGCAGAAAACUCAGCACCUCGCUCAAGAAGAGCCUGAACGACACAAAGUGUUAGCGAGGACCACACUGAAACGCCUGCCCGUGGCUUGAUCCAGAAGGGUGAUGGCUUGUUUUCCAGGAGACCCAAUGCCAUUCAUGCUGUCAUCCUGCUCUGGGACCUGCAGAGUCUGCAACGGUUUGAUAGUUAACAAGAAAGCUAAAAAAAUCCAGCCCAAGAGCAAAACCUUUCAGUGCCUUCCAACAGCCACAAGUGGUGAAUAUCCUGGGAGAGCUGGACUGUAAUUCCUGCUAGCUUAGCAUCAAAGGAUGCUCCGAAACUUUACCUUCCUGGUGACAUCUCUUCUUCCCAAUGAAAGAUGACCCAGGUGACCUUUGAUUGAAUGUCUUGAUAGUCCAGAAGGCAGGGAGCAAGAUAAUUAGAGCCAUAACAUCUGAUCACAGGAGAGAGGUGAAGGCAAGGUAGGGGCAGAACAAAGCUGCUUUUCAAUAGCGGGUGUGACUGUGGCGCUGGUCACGGAGGGGCUGGGGAGGGGACAGGAGCAGGGUUUAAGAGGGGGGUUAAGUAGCUUAUUUUUGAAUAAAAGGUGGAGGAAGCUGGUUGUUAUCUUCUCAGUGCCAUUCAGGCUGCAGGUGUGACUUAAUCUUCUGCGGGGCAGAUGGGUGCUCUGGGUGUCAGCAUCUUCCCCAGGUCUGCAGGAGACCCCAUGGUCCCAGCCACUGACUUUGGUGCACAGGUACGGCAUCGCCUUUCCGUGGGCCAAGGUGUUUGGUUGCCGUGUUUUACAGACGGGGAAGCUGACACAUAAGCCCCACUUGGCCCAGGCUCACUCCUUUGCCCUGACAUAGGUGGGAAUUUCAACCCAAGUUUCUCAGAUUUCAGCAUCUGGCAUUCAAAAGCCUGUAAAUCCUUUCUCUCUCCCCAAAAUCACAAGACCUUUUUAAGGCCCACUUCUUUCGGGUGUUUUCUCAGUGUCCGUAAGCCUCAUCUCCAACCCUUGGAGAUGCCAGAAAGACAAAGUCUCUCAACAGAUGUCUCCGGCAGCCGGGGCUUUCAGGGCCAGCAUGAGUCUCAUGAUGCAAUUUCAGGAUGCGGCAACAACACGCCCUGUGCCCCACUAUCCCAGCAUUGAUUCUUGAUGGACAUCCUUGCACCCAUGGAAGUCCUUCCCUAAGGCUCAUUUCCCCCACUGACCUUUUCACAGCUCCCGCUUCACCCUAUCCUCCCCAGCUCCAUUCAACACAGAGCUCUCACGGGCAGGGCAGCAGAGCCCAGCGUUCUCCCAGUGCCAGAUCAAGGCUGUUGUGAGCCGUCACCUGGAACCUCACUGUCUCAUUCAUUCAAAUCCAAUCUCUUUAGAUCCUUGUCUUUUUUUCCUCCUCAAGACAAGGAGCAUUAAGUGAAAAAUGAUGAAAGGUCCCAGUCGUGCAGCUGAAAGCUCCCGCUUCCUCUUUGCUGCUCCUUUCUUUCCCCAGUUUUUUUGGAGCCCAGCAAGCAUCCACGCAAGUGCAAAAUUAUUUCCAUGCCGGGCUUCGGUCACGUUAAAGCUCCACGGCUGCUGGUGCGCAAGUCCCUGCACAGCUCUCGAACAAAUUGGACCAAUUUGGAGUGAUUAGUGAAGAAUUCACAUAUGGUGCCCAGCCAGCGUGGACCAAUUGCCUCCUGCAGCCCAUUAGGAGCCAUUUACUGUGAUGGGCCCAUUUGUCUUUGUUGUUAGUUCUGGCAGGGCCAGUGACAGAUCCUUGGCUGGCCACUGGGCCAACCUCUCCCUGACAUCACUGCAGGGGUAAGAGGGCAAGGCUGAGACACGCAUCGAGUCUGACACCGGCUGAUGGAUGUCCCAAGGAGCCGUGCCAGGCAGGGCUGUGGGGCCUUCCUGAGGAAUGGGAAGAGCAGUUGCCAUUUGGGGUUGCAUCUUGGGUACUGAUGGCAGCAUGCAACCAUGGGGUGGAUGCGAGGCCUUCUCUGCCACUGGCUACCACGGCUGUGAUGUGACAACAUGUGGCUGGAGAGAGAGGGACAGACUGUUCCCCAGGUGCUAAAUGUGUCCUGAUGCAUAUGGAGGCUUGGAAGUUGAAGCCCACGAUCCUUGAGGGCCAAACGAUGGUCAAAGCAAGCCUGACACAGGCAUGGUCCUCCAGCUUCUUGUGGCUCCAGCAAAUGUGGGAAGAAAGAAGCAGCAAAGAGCAGGACACUAGAUUUCACUGUUAUGAGAGCUGAGCAGCAGGAGCCGUUGACUGUGGGCACGUUUCUGGUGGCAAGAGACAUGUACCGCUGCCAUAGUGGUUCUGAUGAAGGAAGGGGAGCGAGCCGUGCUGGUUAAGGUCUGAGGGCACCACUGUGACUAUAACUGGACCAGUGGUUGUACGUACUGACCGCAGAGGUGAAAAUUCAUACCCUCCAACUGACACAGCCCAAAACUGUCAACAGAGUGGAGAAUCAAACCCAGUUCCAGGUUAAAUCUGAGCGCAUUUUUCAAGUUCGGGUUAAGACACCUGGAAAACAUGAUGCAAAGGAUGAGCCAGCUUGGAGAGACUGCCCGUAGUUAGAGCUUUGCAACUGUCUGUUGUUUUCACUCUCUGGCGGCUCAAGGAUUUUCCCUCCUUUGUUUGGGUGAAUCCAAAAAGAAUUCUGUGUGGGAGUAAAAGAUAAAGGAGAGAAUUGGUGCCAACGGACACUUUUCUUUCAAUAAUGAAGAUUUUGAGGAGUACCUAAUUUCUGUGUGCAAUCAAUCUUUUAAUGGUACGUGGUUUGGGAUGGGAAGAAAACUAGAAGACCUUAAUAUCAUGAACAAAAUAUCUUCAUUCUGUAAACUAUUGCUAUGAUGAAAGUGGUGACCUGGAACUGCCUGAGACUCUGUGACUGAUGGGAAGUUACAAGUAUUCAUGAACCAGACGUAUCUCUCUGCCUCCUGCCGGUGCCCAGGUAUUCUCCGAAAUGGCACUUACAAAGUUUGACCUGGUUUUAACCUUCUUAUAAAGAAAAAAUAAACUACUCCUGCCCCCCUCCACAGUAGUCAACUUUCUCUGGCAAAGCUGAGCGGUAUUUUAAUUCGGGCCCCUUUGACAAUGCCAGCCCUGAGCCCUUGUGUGCUGACAGCCCCUAUUGUGUCCGUCCGGGGAAAUUAAGGCUCUGAUCCAGAGCUUUUAAACUUCUUGGACUGACAGGGACUCUGAAGUGAGACCCAGUCAGUGCUCUUUAAAGGGGAGACAGAGGUGCUCCAAGGUUUCCAUCCCAGGCCACAGGGCACCAGGACACCUGGGGCCAUUCUGAGCAGUUUGGAGACUGCUAUUUAGCCGUCGCCUCGGCAAUUUGGGCUAUUUGAGGAAUUGGGGUCAAUUAUAACCAGCCUUCACCUGCCUCGCUUCCACAGAGAACUGGAGCCAGAUGGCAGCCUGUAGGACCAGCCUCUCCAUUCCCAUCCCCGCUGGACAGAUGAACUUGCAGUUACACACCAUUUGGCGUUGGUUUCAAUACAAUAGAGGUGGAACAAGGGAAAAAGGAGCCAUCCAUUCUGGUAUAAACCCAUUUGCUUAAUGUCUUACACAGCAUUGAUCUCCGUGGAUGCAAGGACGCUGACCCCAACCAUCCCCAAAUCCCCUCUGUUGUUUCUCCCCAUGUUACAAGGCUGGUAGGUGAGUUCAGGGAUUCGGGCUGGAAUUUCAUGACCACUUUGAGGUUAAACCUGCUGUAAAUCUGGGCCUAUCCAGCCUGCUGCUUCUCAAAAGGGUUUUCCAGUUGCACAAGUGUAUGUAAAGGUUUGUCUACGGGAAUCAGGCUCUGAAACGCCAUCUCUGCUUUCAGUAAUCUCCUAGUGGACUCCAUCAACCCUGUUGUGUCUUGCCCACCAAAUUCCCAUGAUGCGAUGUCAUCCUUUUCUUUAUUGUUGUUCUGAUUAAUGAUGCUGUUUCUUAUUGCUUUGUAGAGCAUGGUGAGACCAAGUUGAGUCUGUGGGCCUCCCCAGGGCUCCCUGUCCACUCCUCAGAGUGCCCCAAUGGCUUCACCGCAGGGAAUGCUUUGGGUUUAGGAGACUCUUACCAAAAAAUGUCGAUUAUAGAGCAUCGCCCCGGAGUUCAGACACCUUGAGAGUGCUGAGCACAGCGAGAGAAGGAUCGAAACCACACAGCUGGGCUGGGAUUUAACAGCAUCUCCCUGCGCAGGGCAGGGCUUUUGUCCUUCCUCAGCCUCCAUCCACAGCUAUUUGAGCUCUGCAAGCUCAGAAACCAGCCUUUGUCACAAAAUCACCUUUGUCCUUCAAGCCGCAAACCUCCACCCCAUGUGCCCCAUGGUCAAAGCUUCCGAGGAGCCCUGAGGGUGGGACACCACGCACUGAGCCGGUUCCAAUGCCACAGCUAGGAAAGGUGACAUUUGGGCCAAGGGGAGGGAGUGGAGGCGGUGGCUCUGGACGGGAGAUCUCAAGUCUCAGGUGCCUCCUCAUGGCUUCUUUGCAACUGAGUGUGUGAUGGUGCUCUUCCAUGAAGUCCUGCCUGCUCUGCCCUCUCCACCACCCUGGCAGGGCUGCAGGUCUUUCCAGCCUCCGCGCCUCCCUGUGUGACUAAGAGGGCUGGCUGGCUCCCAGGGGUGUCAGUCUGGGACCCCAAACAACCCCAGGGAGCCAAGAGGAACAGGAAAGCCCAGAGGCUCCUUCCUCGUCCCUCUCCUCCUCCUCCUUAUCGCCUGCCAGCUGCCUUCCCGGGCCAAGGGGUGGCCCUGGGUGGCCCCAUCUCCAGUUGGCCCAGCCGGGAACGGCCGCUCCCGAUUACUCAUGGGGAUGAUGUGGGGGGAUGCAGGGGCGGAAAGUUGGAGUAAAUGGAAAGUGGGCACUUGCCUCUGACUUCGUCCUCCCAUCGGCGCAGCUGGAGCUGAGCUCAGCCAGACGCCCUGGCGCGAGGUGGCGGGUGGCAGGCAGCUGGCGAGGGGACACGGCGCUCAGCCUUGCAUCUCGAUUCCAGGCCAGGACCGGCUGCUGGGGGACACGGAGGUGAGAACCACCGUGCAGCCAGAGAUGCACUGCUCUGUACACGCACACAUGCAGCAGUGCCUCCAACAUCAGCCCAUGCAGAGCUGUGCUCGGAUGCUCGUGUUCAGCCCUGCCUGGGUGACUGUCACCCACUGGUGGGGUUCUCUGCCCCCCAGGAGAGGUGCUCAUGGCUCCAGCAUCUCAGCCAACUCCUUGAGGGGGGAAGAUGCUGCAAAGAGGAGGGUGAUGGGGCACAGGAGCUGAAAGACAGGGGUCUGAAUUCAAGUUACAGCUGAGAGAAACCUCAUUUCCCUGCUGUUUGCACUGAAAACUGGCUGAAGGCGUGUCUUCUGGACAGCUUCCGAGGUAUCUAUAUGGACAUGUCUUCACCCCAUGCCCUGGGACUCCCCCUCAGUCUCUCCACCCAUCCCUCUGCCGUGGAGGGGCUCUUUCUUCCCAGACUCCUGUUAUGACAAAACCCCAAAGGUGAAGUGAAGGAAAAUGUGCCCUGCUUGUGCUGGAGGUUGCCUGAAAAUCUUCCUGCCAUCCUGGGGUCCUCCAGUGCUCUGAGCCCUUCUCCAGCUCGGGUGGUACAAAGCCACCUUGAAACCAAAUCCACGCACGGCCCAUAAUGAUGAUCACCCACUCUGAGCUUCCAAAACCACUUGAUUAUCCAUAUUUCCCAGCAGCAGGGCUUCCUGGCGUGAUGGAAAUGACGGAAAUGAAUUUGGAGGUCAUGUUGCCACCAUAUCAAAUAUUCCCCAAUCCUUCUUUGCAGGCUAGGGAAAGGUCCACCUCCCACCUCCAAUGCUCUUCAGAGCACCCAGAUUUACUGAUGUUCGUGUUCAAAACUUCUCCUGUGUUGAAAGAUGGAUUUUCCUACCCAAGCUGAGUUUCCAUGAGGGUGUCCAUAGAUUGGACGGGAAGGACCAGAGGCUGGAGAGCUCAGGGAUGCUGGCAUCUUUCUUGCAGCGAUCUAUGUUUACAGAAAAUACAUCAUCCAAGAAAAAUCUUGUGACGUGAAGGGCUUGGGCUGACUCUGAGGGUGCGAGACGUGGACCCUCACAGUUUUCAAGAUCUCAAAGUGAGGGCAAAUCCAGAUGGUGAGAGGGGAGCUGCAAGCCACGAAAAUCCCAUAUUCCACAUGAAUGCUCAAACUGCUGGUUAUUAUGGGAUGGACACAUACAUCUCUGCAAUUUUUUAAGGAGAAAUUCUGCCCAGGUCAAAGUGAACAGAUACAUUACUGGCAAAAAUCAUUAUUUCCAAUGAAUCAACAUUUUCCUGUUAAAAUGAACCAAAACCAAACACUUCCAGACCCUCCCUUGGUCCCUUUUGCUGCUCAGGACUCAGCACAAGGCGAGGUGGCAGCUGGACUCAAACCCACAGGCACGUCUUGGGCUACAAACUGGAUGAAAUUGGACCCCUGGAGAGCCCAGCUGUGACCAGGUGGAAUUUUCCAAACCAACAGCAAGAUAAAAGCCGGUCCAGCCCCGCGCCAGCAAAUCUCCACCGGGGCUGUUCAAAGGGAGCGAUGCCCGUGGUGCCGCCCACCCUCCCGCGACCAAGAGGAGGGAGAGGAAGUUUUGCUCCACUCCAGCAACAGGGACAGGACAGGACGGGAGGAGUGUCAAGCUGGAAAAGCCAAGUGGAUGUUCCGCCUGGUGCCGACCCGCAGCCAAAGUCCGAGUGAUGGAGUUUCAGGUGAGUGGAAAGAAAGGAAACAAAACUGAGGGUCUGAUAAUUUUUGGAGUACCCCAAAGGGUUUUGAUGACAUCAGAGAAGAUGCUUUGGCAGAGCCACCUUCUCACUGCGGGGGAAGCCAUGGAAGGGGAGGCGAGGGGGCUCGGGCUGUGGCACGUCCCCAUCUCCGGCAGGACAGCGUUGGGCCCAGGUGCUCCCCAUCUCCCUGAGUUAAGGGUGAUGGGAAAGCAAUGAGGAUUUAAAAACCUCUUUAACUGGCGAUCUUGUCAAAUUAGUGGGGCAAGGCGCUGAGGCCGACACUAAUGAAUGCAAUAAUUGAUCAAAUAUGUUGUAUUUCUGCCUAGCACGUUCACACCUUCCCCAAAGGUUUCCAGAUGGGGUGUAAUUAUCCCCCAAACUGGCUUCACACGCCAGGGCACAAGGGGAGCAACAGUGACAUGGGGAAUUUAGACAGCAGAAAAUUGCUCCCGCAAUUAAUCCCAGGCACUUAAUAAACUCACCACAGAAUAGCGGGGAUGGUGAGAGACCCUCUCGGGUCUGGCCCCCAGCUGGGGGUGGGGGUGGAAAUUUUCAGCCCUUGUGCAUUAUGGGGUAGUGAAGCCAGCGCUGGUUUUGCUCCUCUCUGAAUGAGAUGCAGGAAGGGAGCAUUUCCCCGCUUCUUUGCUCCCUCAUUCACUUCACCCAAGGGCCAAAGUGAUGUAAAUCCGGGGGGACCCUUUGCCCUUCGGUGCUGAAUCGCUGCUGAUUUACACCAGAGUCCUUUCAUUCCUUUGAUUUCCAGCUGUGAAAAUCAAACCCAGACCAAAUCCAUGUCCUGGAAAAUACUUCAAUUUCAAAACAAAAUAUUUGCUGCCUUGAAGAGGGCUGAAGCUGAGUGGGGGGAUUGUUUGGGUUAAGGAUUUUAACUUCGAUAUGAUUUCAUCUCAGCUCAAACUAGCGAUGAAGCAGGGCCCAAAUCCUGGCCGGUACGGUGGCUCAGCCGGGGCACGGCCACCGUACUGCCCACGGCCACUGGGGCUGCAGCCGCUGGGACAGCCAGUGCUGAGCAUCUUUACGCAGAAAACCCCUCCUGACUGCAGUUGUCGGAGUUCUGCAAAGUUAAAGGAAGGGGAAAUAUAAUGUGAACUUUCGCUUGUGCCCCUCUGAAACCUCCCCAUCAAAGCUGGGUUCCAGACACUCCUGUGAUGGCCACAUUGCUGUCACCUCCCGGUGUCCCCAGGGCCACCUCUGUGCUUCAGGUCACCUCCCCAUCAGUGGCUCCCAUCUGGCUUCGCUCACACAGUGAUUCAUUGCAA